CCUACGGGUGGCAGCAGUGAGGAAUAUUGGUCAAUGGACGAGAGUCUGAACCAGCCAAGUAGCGUGAAGGAUGACUGCCCUAUGGGUUGUAAACUUCUUUUAUAUGGGAAUAAAACGUUCCACGUGUGGGAUUUUGUAUGUACCAUAUGAAUAAGGAUCGGCUAACUCCGUGCCAGCAGCCGCGGUAAUACGGAGGAUCCGAGCGUUAUCCGGAUUUAUUGGGUUUAAAGGGAGCGUAGGUGGAUUGUUAAGUCAGUUGUGAAAGUUUGCGGCUCAACCGUAAAAUUGCAGUUGAGACUGGCAGUCUUGAGUACAGUAGAGGUGGGCGGAAUUCGUGGUGUAGCGGUGAAAUGCUUAGAUAUCACGAAGAACUCCGAUUGCGAAGGCAGUUCACUGGACUGCAACUGACACUGAGGCUCGAAAGUGUGGGUAUCAAACAGGAUUAGAUACCCUUGUAGUC
Molecule: ribosomal RNA, 460 nt
Filed under: uncultured bacterium
Lineage: Bacteria
Description: partial 16S ribosomal RNA
Rfam family: Bacterial small subunit ribosomal RNA
Source: RNAcentral